GGCGCAGUAGUGUAGUGGUUAUCAAUCUUGACUGCCGUCCAGGAGGUCAGGGUUCGAUUCUCGCUCGGUGCUG
RNAcentral lists this transfer RNA (73 nucleotides) under Clytia hemisphaerica. RNAcentral describes it as "tRNA-Gly for anticodon GCC". Lineage: Eukaryota; Metazoa; Cnidaria; Hydrozoa; Leptothecata; Clytiidae. The record is from RNAcentral.